ACGUUAGUUCAUUAUUUAGUGUUUUAUCUUAAUAUGCAGUUCGAAUGUUAGAUAAUACCAUUAUUUUGAUGUAUACGUCAAGAUGUAUAACUAUUAUGGUGUUUAUGUUAUUCUAGUGAGUUGUAUAUAUCUGGAUGUUUCUGCCAUAAGAAUGCCAUUCUCCAUUUUCAAUAAAAUAUCUCCAUUUCCAAUAAAAAGCAUCUAAUAUUGUUCGAGAUAUGGGAAAAAAUCAAUUUUCGUUUGUAACUGCAAAGGGCUGUAACUUUUUUAAUGUGCACAUUUGUACUAAGUCCAAUGCAGGAAAACCCGCAGCAGAAAACUCUGAGAAAUCCAGUGACCUUGAAAUUAUUGAUGGACAGGAAGUCGUACCUCAUUCGAUGCCAUAUAUGGCUGCUAUUCGUACUGUAAUAAAUUCCACCUCAAUUUUGUGUGGAGGAUCUUUAAUUAGUGAUUCCUUAGUCCUGACAGCAGCUCGGUGUGUUGAUGGAGCUAGUGAAGUGGAUGUUACUUUAGGGGCUCACAAUUUAGAAGACAAUGAAGACAGUCAAAUUACUCUGAUUUCCUCAUCAUUUUUUAUACAUAAAGAUUAUAGACAUUCGGGAUUAGCUGACGAUAUUGCAGUUAUUGAAUUACCCGUAUCAGUUCCUUUAAGUAGAUAUAUUGCCACUAUAAAGUUACCAGAACUUACAGAUAUUGGCAAUACCUAUGAAGGACAAGAAGCUUUAGUUGCCGGAUGGGGUGGAGUAAAUGAUGUAGAACAAGUCAAAAGCAAUGUUUUACGGUAUCAAAACUUGACUAUUAUUCCAGUUGAAAUGUGUGAAAUCUCAUAUUUAUUUAAAAUGCAAUCGGACCAAAUUUGUGCAUCAGCACCAUUGGGAAAGAAUAUCUGCUUGGGAGAUAACGGAAGUCCUUUAGUUGUAAAUGGAGUACAAAGAUACAAAUAGGAGUACCUACGGAAUACUUAUUUUCAAGGCCAAUAAGGUCACUUCUCACAGGAGACAGAAUCCUCUCAGCUUGAGAGACUCCCAAUCACAUAACAACAAUGGGAGGCUUACAGUUUUCUAUUGGAAAUUGGUCAUCCGACGGGCUUUUGGUGCGGUGGAGCCGCUUAAUUUUAGGGGAUGCGUUAAGCUAAGCUACGUUCUUCCCUUUUGUCCUUGAUCUAAAAAAUUUGAUCCUAUGCUCUCUGGCCAGGACUGUGUGCGCCGAUUCAUAAAUCCAGGAAAUCGAGAUUAAGAGAGGGAAAAAUUUCAACAAAUAAAGAAAGGAAAUGACAGGAGAAUGGAAAGCGUGAAAGAAGUGAGCAAGAGAAGGCGCCAGCAACAUCUGACGUUCGUAUAGAAUACAGAUUGGCAUUGCUUCCUAUGGUAGCGUGUUUGGAUGUUCGAUGGGAUUCCCUGGUGUUUUUACCAGAGUAACAAAAUAUCUGGAAUGGUUACCGCUUUAAGGAUUCUAAGGUCCUCAUCGAUUAGUAUACAUACAGUAUGGUUCAUAAUUAAUGGGUGUUACUUUACCUACAGAUUCUAUAAAAUAAUUAUGUUUCAGCUUAACUGAGAAUUAGUGAGAAU
This 1568-nucleotide unclassified non-coding RNA is filed under the name Diabrotica virgifera virgifera (western corn rootworm). RNAcentral's name for it is "chymotrypsin-like". The record is from RNAcentral. Lineage: Eukaryota; Metazoa; Arthropoda; Insecta; Coleoptera; Chrysomelidae.